CAGCAGCCGCGGGAAUACGUAGGGUGCGAGCGUUAAUCGGAAUUACUGGGCGUAAAGCGUGCGCAGGCGGUUAUAUAAGACAGAUGUGAAAUCCCCGGGCUCAACCUGGGACCUGCAUUUGUGACUGUAUAGCUAGAGUACGGUAGAGGGGGAUGGAAUUCCGCGUGUAGCAGUGAAAUGCGUAGAUAUGCGGAGGAACACCGAUGGCGAAGGCAAUCCCCUGGACCUGUACUGACGCUCAUGCACGAAAGCGUGGGGAGCAAACAGGAUUAGAUACCCCUGUAGUCCCUGUCUCUUAUAC
This 301-nucleotide ribosomal RNA is filed under the name uncultured bacterium. RNAcentral describes it as "partial 16S ribosomal RNA". It matches the Rfam family "Bacterial small subunit ribosomal RNA", at positions 509 to 807 of the family's 1533-position model. The record is from RNAcentral.